RNAcentral lists this ribosomal RNA (497 nucleotides) under uncultured bacterium. RNAcentral's name for it is "partial 16S ribosomal RNA". It matches the Rfam family "Bacterial small subunit ribosomal RNA", at positions 28 to 507 of the family's 1533-position model. The record is from RNAcentral.
GAUGAACGCUGGCGGCGUGCCUAAUACAUGCAAGUCGAGCGAACAGACGAGGAGCUUGCUCCUCUGACCUUAGCGGCGGACGGGUGAGUAACACGUGGAUAACCUACCUAUAAGACUGGGAUAACUUCGGGAAACCGGAGCUAAUACCGGAUAAUAUAUUGAACCGCAUGGUUCAAUAGUGAAAGACGGUUUUGCUGUCACUUAUAGAUGGAUCCGCGCCGCAUUAGCUAGUUGGUAAGGUAACGGCUUACCAAGGCAACGAUGCGUAGCCGACCUGAGAGGGUGAUCGGCCACACUGGAACUGAGACACGGUCCAGACUCCUACGGGAGGCAGCAGUAGGGAAUCUUCCGCAAUGGGCGAAAGCCUGACGGAGCAACGCCGCGUGAGUGAUGAAGGUCUUCGGAUCGUAAAACUCUGUUAUUAGGGAAGAACAAAUGUGUAAGUAACUAUGCACGUCUUGACGGUACCUAAUCAGAAAGCCACGGCUAACUACGUG